AGAGUUUGAUCCUGGCUCAGGAUGAACGCUGGCGGCGUGCCUAAUACAUGCAAGUCGAGCGAACGGACGAGAAGCUUGCUUCUCUGAUGUUAGCGGCGGACGGGUGAGUAACACGUGGAUAACCUACCUAUAAGACUGGGAUAACUUCGGGAAACCGGAGCUAAUACCGGAUAAUAUUUUGAACCGCAUGGUUCAAAAGUGAAAGACGGUCUUGCUGUCACUUAUAGAUGGAUCCGCGCUGCAUUAGCUAGUUGGUAAGGUAACGGCUUACCAAGGCAACGAUGCAUAGCCGACCUGAGAGGGUGAUCGGCCACACUGGAACUGAGACACGGUCCAGACUCCUACGGGAGGCAGCAGUAGGGAAUCUUCCGCAAUGGGCGAAAGCCUGACGGAGCAACGCCGCGUGAGUGAUGAAGGUCUUCGGAUCGUAAAACUCUGUUAUUAGGGAAGAACAUAUGUGUAAGUAACUGUGCACAUCUUGACGGUACCUAAUCAGAAAGCCACGGCUAACUACGUGCCAGCAGCCGCGGUAAUACGUAGGUGGCAAGCGUUAUCCGGAAUUAUUGGGCGUAAAGCGCGCGUAGGCGGUUUUUUAAGUCUGAUGUGAAAGCCCACGGCUCAACCGUGGAGGGUCAUUGGAAACUGGAAAACUUGAGUGCAGAAGAGGAAAGUGGAAUUCCAUGUGUAGCGGUGAAAUGCGCAGAGAUAUGGAGGAACACCAGUGGCGAAGGCGACUUUCUGGUCUGUAACUGACGCUGAUGUGCGAAAGCGUGGGGAUCAAACAGGAUUAGAUACCCUGGUAGUCCACGCCGUAAACGAUGAGUGCUAAGUGUUAGGGGGUUUCCGCCCCUUAGUGCUGCAGCUAACGCAUUAAGCACUCCGCCUGGGGAGUACGACCGCAAGGUUGAAACUCAAAGGAAUUGACGGGGACCCGCACAAGCGGUGGAGCAUGUGGUUUAAUUCGAAGCAACGCGAAGAACCUUACCAAAUCUUGACAUCCUUUGACAACUCUAGAGAUAGAGCCUUCCCCUUCGGGGGACAAAGUGACAGGUGGUGCAUGGUUGUCGUCAGCUCGUGUCGUGAGAUGUUGGGUUAAGUCCCGCAACGAGCGCAACCCUUAAGCUUAGUUGCCAUCAUUAAGUUGGGCACUCUAAGUUGACUGCCGGUGACAAACCGGAGGAAGGUGGGGAUGACGUCAAAUCAUCAUGCCCCUUAUGAUUUGGGCUACACACGUGCUACAAUGGACAAUACAAAGGGCAGCGAAACCGCGAGGUCAAGCAAAUCCCAUAAAGUUGUUCUCAGUUCGGAUUGUAGUCUGCAACUCGACUACAUGAAGCUGGAAUCGCUAGUAAUCGUAGAUCAGCAUGCUACGGUGAAUACGUUCCCGGGUCUUGUACACACCGCCCGUCACACCACGAGAGUUUGUAACACCC
RNAcentral lists this ribosomal RNA (1433 nucleotides) under Staphylococcus aureus M1279. RNAcentral's name for it is "bacterial SSU rRNA". It matches the Rfam family "Bacterial small subunit ribosomal RNA". Lineage: Bacteria; Bacillati; Bacillota; Bacilli; Caryophanales; Staphylococcaceae. The record is from RNAcentral.